CGGUUCGGUUCGGGCCGGGCCAGAGCCGCGGGGCUCCCGGCCUGCCCAUAGCGCCUCCGGUAAAAGUGACCGGCUGGCCUGGCUUCUAUCGCCUGAGCGUUUGCUGCUGCUGGAAGGAAACUAGUCCAGAGCAUAUGCCACCAGGAGUCUGGCUGUCAGCACCCUUGGAGUCAGGGAGGCACAGCAGAGCUGAGCACUGCCAGUUUGUGCCUAGCCACAAACACAACCCUCCCUCUCCAGAGAGAAGAAAAGAGAGAGGAAAAGCAUAAGGUACUUCCAGAAUUUAUUUAAUACAAACUAAAAGUUUGGCCAGAAGAGAAUACCAUGGAAAAUAAGUUAAAUUUAUGGAAAACAAAAUUACUCUGGAAGGCAGGUAGAUUAAGCAAGACUUAAAGAGCAAUUAAUCAAAGACACAAGGCAAACAAGGUGUUUUUUCAUGAACCAGCAGCAGAAAGCCUGCAGGAUUCAUCAGUCUUCUUCCUCAGCACUGAGACACAACGUGUUCCACAGUUCCCAGAUGUUGGUUGUGUAAAGGAAGGGUUAAUAGCAGUUGGUAUUAAAGUCAGUGACUCAUUAUCCAACCUGAACAGAAGAGGAGUGGCUCCCUCAAAGGAAGGAACUGAGCAGUCAUUAGGAAGAACUAACGAAUAACCAUGUCAGAGCAAGAACAGAGAUGAAUGUUAUCAGUUUGGUCUUGGUUCCUCUGUUAACAAAAGUCAGUCCCACAGCAAGAGGGACACGGACACAGGCUGUGGAACAGACUAGCCACUGUGACCUGAAAGCUACAUCUGCCUGGGAGGAGUAGAGACAUACUUUAUCCAUGGGAAACACUUGUUUGAUGUGAUUUCUCUUAAUAUUUCUCCUUUUUCCUCAAUCUGGUGCAUCUUGCUGUAGAGCUGCUGCCCCAGAACUUCCCUGUUCUUGCUGCUGUAGAAGAUCUCCCAGCCUUCAACUCACUGCCAGGACUGCAAGUGGCAGAAAACACCUGCCUCAGUGCCAGCCUGCUCCUACAAACCCCACAGCUUGCACAGAGUAGCCGAGCUGAGCUGAUGCCAGGAACGUGAAGGUCUUGUAAGAGGUGACAUUUAAAGUUGUGUAUUCCCAGCUUUUGUAAUUACAGGUUCCCACAUCAGGAGGAUGCAUGGAAAAAGCACACAGAUAAGGCAUCGUUUGCCCAAACAUGUCAUCAGAAACUGACUUCCUAAAGCUCUUUUUCAGUAGGGGACUUUCAAGGCCUGGUCAGCCUGUCACUGGUACUACUGAAGACAGCAAGAAUCUCGCUGCAGAUUUCAGGGAGAGCAAGAGCAGACCCUGGGAGUGAAGAAACAUCAUUUGCAUUCACUUUGGCAGAUGGCUGUGUUCUAGGAGAACCUACAAACAGUUCUUGAGGCUCCAGGGUAGACUGAGAAGGGAGUAAAAUGAGUGGAAGAAAACAAGAAAUAGACACGUGAUGCAAGUUCAUAUAUACAAUGAAUGGACUUGGGACAAAUGCUUGAAGACUUCUUACAACAAAUUGCUCACAAAUGCAAGAGUUACUUCCAGAAUGGUUACUGCACAUGUGUUUGGAAAAAAUAUAUUGGAACAAAUCAAUCUGCUUGUGGACAAAUAAUGAAAAGAGAAAAAGGAAAAAUUCCUCUAACAAACAUGAAACUGCAAAUUAUUCACUCAGCUCAGUUGGCAACAACCAAUUUUUGUGGUAGUAGGAGCUCAUGGAGUAGGAGGUAACUGUGUGAAGAAUGAUUGAUUUGGGAUCUUAUAUUGCAGUUCUGGAAGGGCUUCAAUUUCUAAUUUAAAAGCCAUCUUCCUCCUUUUACCCAGUAAAUAAAACACAAUGAUAGUUGAUUUCUGUGAGCUGUUUUGGGCAGAUAGGAUCUAUUUUCUGUCCUCUGGACACUGAAAACAGCUAGCUCAUAAGAAAGAGGAGUUAUUUAUUAGAAAAGAUCUCUCUUGCUGUGUUGGGUUGCAAUGCAAGAUGUAAGCACAAGUCUGUGUUCUAUUGCCAGCUGUUAAAACCAGGUGAGGCAGUGUUCUUUAUCUCUCCCAGCACCCAUCCUCCCUCCAGGG
Non-coding RNA from Cyanistes caeruleus (blue tit), 2064 nucleotides. Lineage: Eukaryota; Metazoa; Chordata; Aves; Passeriformes; Paridae. The record is from RefSeq and is a predicted model, not a curated record.